GCAGUUGGUUUUCACUCGAAAUCAGAAGGUCUCUGGUUUUUCUUAUAUUUCAGAGUGUAUCGGUGGAGUUAGAAUCUCUAUUUGUUAAAUUGUAGGGACAAGUUAAAGAGGUCGUGUGCGCGCGAUUCUGGAAGUGGUUCUGUUUUGAGGGUUAUAUGUGUUUAUGCACGGGGAAUCAGAUUUAUAUGUCUUCACGCCGAGAAGAAUUAAACCGAGCUUAUAGACCAAGGAUCUAGCCCAAGACUGUAGAGAUCGACUUCCCGGUGCCUGAUAGACUGCCUUAGUCUGUGGAAGCUUCAUUAUCGAUUGCCAGUACGUGUUUUGAGUUGGGCAUAGAGUCUGUUGUGUUGUGGUGUAUAUACACCCUUGUAUGUUAUAGAUACUCCACAGUUUGUAUAAGCUUUAGGAGCUGUAGUUGUGUAAAUUUUGUUGGUUAUAUUUUGAUUAAGGUGUCUUUAGGUUUACUCGUGAAAUCGGUAAAUUUUGAGGUACACUUCAUGUAUGUGUUUGACUAGCUGUGUUUGACUAGCCUAGGAUCCGCUGUGUUUUGUGGCAUGUACAAUAGUUUAUAUACUAGAUUGGCAAGUUCA
Long non-coding RNA from Cucumis melo (muskmelon), 590 nucleotides. RefSeq lists it as uncharacterized. NCBI's taxonomy places the organism in Eukaryota, Viridiplantae, Streptophyta, Magnoliopsida, Cucurbitales, Cucurbitaceae. The record is from RefSeq and is a predicted model, not a curated record. The transcript has 4 exons.